This is a non-coding RNA of Comamonadaceae bacterium CG2_30_59_20, 98 nucleotides long. The record is from Rfam. NCBI's taxonomy places the organism in Bacteria, Pseudomonadati, Pseudomonadota, Betaproteobacteria, Burkholderiales, Comamonadaceae.
CGACAGCGCUAGAGGUGCCGCCCGGUCGGGUGGCUGAGAAAAUACUCUUUGAACCUGAUCUGGGUCGUGCCAGCGUAGGGAAGCGUUCACAACUCACU